RNAcentral lists this long non-coding RNA (550 nucleotides) under Capra hircus (goat). RNAcentral's name for it is "lncRNA (ENSCHIG00000007986.1)". Lineage: Eukaryota; Metazoa; Chordata; Mammalia; Artiodactyla; Bovidae. The record is from RNAcentral.
CUUGUUGGUGAUCCAUUUUGAAUAUAGCAGUGUGUACAUGUCAAUCUCAAACUCCCUAACUAUCCCUCCUCAUACCCUUCCCCCUGGUAACCAUAAAUUCUCUCUAUGUCUGUGAGUCUGAAACAAUUGUGACUUUAGUAACAGGUUAACCAAUCAGAGCCUUCUACCAAGGAUGUCCAAUGCAGGAACCAGGGGCCCGAGGGAAGAGGAUUCUGGGACCAGGAGAGGCAUAAAACAGCGGUUAAGAUUCAGACUCUGGGGCCAGAAUGACUUUGAUUUAGUCCUGCCUCACCACCUCUGAGCUGCAUGAACUUGGAUACUGAAAUAACAUCCAAGUAAGAGAAGUUAACGAUUAACAAUGUUGUGCUGCCCACAAACGUGGAGACCCCAGACCAGUUGGAUCUGCAGGCUGAUGAAGCUAACUCCUAAUGCCUUACCACCAACCCAUCAGAAGAAGCCUCCCCAGUCCUUCAAGAAAAUAGACAUCUGAUCAGACUGACUCAUCAAGUGUCGCACUUGGAGAUCCUGACACCAAUUCUGGGAACCCAAG